GUACCCGCACCGCCUGCUCUCUGCGCCAGCACAGCCAGGGUCUCGUGCAGGUGGGCACGGAGCUGGGCGACGCGCUGCACUCGGAGGACAGCAGCUGCGGCGCCUCGCCGCCGCACCCCGCCGACCCCUGAUCAAACGAACUGAACGCGUAUUGGUCGCUCGACGUGUCUCGGUUCUACGCCUGCUUCUGCUAGCGACUCACCAAAAUGAGGCUACAUACUGACGCCAUUGAUUUGUAAUGGGGGCCGUUCUCGAGCAGUGGUGGUGUGAAGUGAUCAUGUAUGUAACCUGAACUAUGUUGAUACUCAAUGACAGUUUAAGUUUUAAUAUUUAAUUUUAUAUAGAAAAGAUAAUAUUAAGAGUCUGAAAUAAAUUACGGCUAUUACUAACGUAUGAUGGUCUACUGAAGUCAUGACAAUUAAUUGUGUCUUACGGGUCGAUUAACUAAGACACGAUUAUAAUUAGAUGAACAAAUGAUAUAUAUCUUUAUUUAUUUGGAGUCCUCGGGAACCAGUAGGUGACAAAGAACCUGGGUCAGAUUUUUCGUGUUUUUUUUCUAUGAUUGCAUGUAGUUUAGCGAUCCUUAAGGCUUAGCUGGUUAAAUAUAUGACUUCCAUAAGUAGACAUUUCUUGCGAAUUGGAUCAUUUUACCUAAAUUAAAUACAAUUUUCACAGUUUAUUUUUUGAUUAUAAGAUUUUGGUGAUUCUACCUGUAAGAAAUAAUCCUUAUAUUUUUUCAAUUGAAUGAAACCCUAAAUUUCUCACUUCACAACACCCACUCGCUUUCCUAUGUCAGUCCGCCAAACUCAUGCUAAAUUCGUCCUUAGCCCGUUUACUAUAAGGCAUGUCUCGUUUGUGCGGACUGCCAUCACAUUUAUUUUGAGGCUCAGGGCUAUUAACUGCAAAAAUCGAAGUUCGUAAAUUUCGAGAAACUAUCUCUGUCACUCUAAUUACGCCUUAAUUGGAGUAAGAGAGAACGAUGCCCGUUUGCGAACUUCGGUGUUCGGUAGGCCUUCUGACCCACCUAUUUCUUCGAGUCUUAAUGGGUUUAGUUAGGUUCCAAAAAUAAUGUUUUUCUUAAAAAACGCGGCUUAUAUUGAACAAGUGAUGACAUUAAUAUAUACGUAGGUAUUUUUAAGUGUGUAUAUUAUAACCCUGGAAACGCCUUAUGGUCUAAUUUGGAAUCGCAAAAAAAAAUUAAACAUGUUAUAAGGCAAUUUGUAAUUGUUUAAGACUCGAAAGAAAACGCACUAGUUAGUAAAAGUUAUUCCUAAAAUAUCAGAUCUUAAAUUACGUAUUGGUGAUAAAGUUUUUUAUUUAUUUCGGGGUAAAUAAAUAAUGGAAUAAAAUUGUAUAAGAGAUACUAACAAGAUAUAUUCAGUUCAUUAUAGAAUGCGUAAUUUAUGAUUUAAGCGAAAUUGAAUCUUAUAACGGUGACAUUUUUAAAUAUAACCACAUAAAAGCGACAUCUCUGUUGCAAUAUAUCAAAUAUAGGUUAGGCUGUAUUUAUUUAUACGCAAUAUGUUAAAAGCAUAAUUAUUUGGUUCCUAAAAUGUACAGCAAGGUAUUAUAUACAGACAUAUAUCAUAUGUAGAAACUCUUAUUGAGAAUGCUGUACGGCUAGGAUGGUCGCCUCUUUAUUGUCCGUCACGUUCUAACAAGUAUGUCAGUGCGAAACGCAUGAUAUGACGAUAAAAACGCGACCAUGCUAUCCCAGCUGUAGGGCUAACAUGGUCGGCUCUUUAUUAUUUGUCACCAUGCCUGUCACGCUCUAACAAGUAUGUAAGUGCGAAAGUGACGGGCGUAAUGACAAAUGAUAAAAAUGGAACCAUGCUGCCACCGCUGGAGACGUGCUAAGUAUCGAUUUGCAAUGACUGUGAAAACCUAUGGACUGUAUUGAAAGAUAGGGUUACCGCCUUCGUGCCUGUGUUUUUGACGUUUGAAAAUAUUGCAAAAUUGAUACUUUUUACAUUUGACGAAGAAAGGAAAGUGAUGGUUUUUCGAGUUUAAGUAUGUAUGUACUUAAUCGGGAGGAUUGGAAGUCUAGGGGGAGAAGGACUAUUUAGGCUUAUAAAAAAGUAUGUAUGGUCUAGUGUUGGUAGGAACUAGAGCUUUUUGAGUCGGAAUUUAAAGAACUCGACUCGUUUUUACUAGACUCUGCGCUUAAAUAACUUCUGAGUCUUUUAAGCUCCGAGGCGUCCUUUAUUGAGUCUUUUUUUAAGAGCAAUUCAAAAGGACUCGAGCCUCCGAAUAAAGACUCCGGCAAUUUUAUAGGUUUUAACUAAAUAACAGUAAAGAAAUUAAUCGUUAUUGUAUGACUUUGUACCUAAUUGACAAAUAUUACUUAAAGAAAAUGCAUUACGAAAUUUUGCAAACAAAAAGUUCAUUGAAAAGGACUGAAGUCCCUAUAAAUGACUCGGAUCACUAACAAGUUGAAAUAAACUCGAGUUUAGACUUAAUUUAAGAGUGGAAAACUGUGUCGAGUUUAAAACAGAGGACUCAAACGAAUCGAGUCUUAACCAACACCAGUAUCCACAUUUCAACAUGGGACCUGUUUGUCUCCGAAAAGGCUUGGCGGGUUUGAACAUGCUAGGUGUUAUUUGAGUCAUGUUUUAUAUUAUCGAUGUGAUCUGUCUGUUUUUAAUCCCAUUAACGUUUUAACAUAUUCAACGAUAGUGUGACACCAUGCACAUGGGUCGCAUAGGUGGUUCUAAUAUCUAUUUUUGGCAUGGAUAAGGACUUGUUGAUUUAAUGGCAUUCAUAAACUUCUAUUAAAGUUAAUAAGCCGCUAAUAAUCGUUUGUCCCUUUCCGGCGUAUUGGUAUGAUGGAAAGGGACAAACGAUUAUUAGCGGCUUGUUAACUUUAGUAGACGUUUAUGAAUAAGGGGGUUAGUGUUUAAAACACAUGAGUUGUAGAGAUUUGAAUCGGUUGAGCAGUCUCAGGCGUCUCAAUAUUAGUGCGAAUAUAUCAAUUUAAACUUCCAUCUAUGAUAAUAAUAUUAGUCCGCGCAUUUCGAUGAAGUUACGGACGGACCCAAGGACAUUAUUCUUGACAGUUAUGGAAAUUAUUCAGAAAUUAGGCAGCUAAUUAAUUUGAUUUAACCAACACAAAACAUUAAAAUUAAGACUAUGUAUUGUAUUUUUGUUUAGGUAAGUUUGACCCAAACAUCUUUUGCGUACUUACCUAUAAAAACUAAAAGAAUAGCUCAAUGUACAGUCAGCAAAGUUAUUAGCUUAGCAUAUCUGCAUACAAAUAUGUAAGUAGGAGUGGUAUGUGUCGUGUUGACCGAACGUUACUUAGAAUUGACCACUAACCAUUACAAAUUGAACCGUAACCGUAACGGACGGUUAUAAUUUACGGUUCAAUUUGUAAUGGUUAAUAACACUGGUAUGUGUGUAUCUUCUGCAGUCGGUCCCUCAAUGCUGAGGAUCGUGACAUUUCCUGUUGAAGACUAGAUUCCGCCAUAGGCUUCUAUUCCUCGCCAAUCGCAUGGCCUCGUGCAGUUUUAAUUGCAUAGGCGCAGUGAUUUGAGCACACCAUCUAGUAGGGGGAGGGCCUUGAGGUCUGGUGCCUUCAACUUUGCCCGUCAUAAUAACUCCAGGCUACCCGGGGAGCGGCGUGAGAGAUGUCCGAAGGAAAUUUAACACGAGACAUUGAAUAAUCAGCUAGUCUUGUAGCGUUGUUAGAAUACAAAAUAUUUGUUUCGUAAGGAAGUUCGAUUUUAUGUCAAGUAUUUUUUCCUUGGGUCUGUUCGUGUAAGAUUGUGAACCCGAAGUGGCUUGUAGGUCAAUUAGAAUAGAAUGAUGCCGUCGACGUGGAUUUUAUAUAUAGUAAAAUUAACAGAAAUAGAUUACGUUAAAAAUAAUGAUGACUUUUGAGCAGUUGAUGAAAAAUUAAUACAGUUUUUUUACGUAGUAACUUGUUGACAAUAACUGAGAGUUGUCACAGACUCAUUCAAACCUUUCGCGGAAAGUUAACUGUAAUUUUAUGUUUGAAAGGAAUUAUUUCUUAUCGACAUAACUGCUCAGUUGCUCACAUAACGAUUUAUGAAAAAAGAAGGCGGGUGAGGCUUACUUGCUUUUAGAACUAAACAUACGAUAAUACUCGCUUAGCUUACCAUGAGCGCUCGGACGCCAACCCCUACCCAUACGACGUUAGGACGUUGAACUAAAAUACAGUCAGUAGUCACUAAAAUACAGGGAUGUACCAUUCCGUAGGAUACUUUCCCUUUUGUAUUGUGAAACAUUUCCCAUAAUCGGUACAUCACUAUCGUAGCAUAAAUCGAAAAUAAGUUUGAAAAUCGAUUAACUGUAGGGUUGUCUACACGGUGUCUGAGUGGCUUGUUAAUACCAUUGUGUACCGCCGAAUGUAUAAUACUUACAUUAUUUUUUUUACACAUUUUAUUGUUAGUAGGUUAAUAUUUCUGUAUUAUGUACAGUGCAAUAUUUUUAUUUUAUAUUAAAACCAGCUCUGCUGGCCGUAGCUUUUUGAACGUAAAUUAUUAUUCUCUGAUAGUCUCACACAGCGACUUUUUGAAGGCAGAAAGAUAAUCAAAAUCUUUAUGACCGCCUUUUUUUUUUUACUUUUCCGCUAUUGAUAUCUCGAGGGUUUAAUUUAUUAUAAAUAACCCAUUCAUAUUUUGUAUAAGAUUUGAAAAUAUGUCACUUGUCACUGUGACAUAUUUUCAAAUCUUAUACAAAAUAGGUAUGAACACAAGAAGUCGCUGUGUGAUGUGUCGUUACAACACUGCCGAUAUUAAAUAAGUGUACAACGCAUACAUACUUUGAAAUAUAGAUUAACUUACAAACAAGUUAUAUUUAACAUUACGUUCAAAAUAAGUUAAAAGUGAUAAGCCAAAUGAGGGUUUCACUUAAAGCCCUUACAUACAUAUUUAACAAAUUUAGUAUACGCGGAUUCGACGGACGAAACUCAAAUGCGAAAAUUAUUCGAACGUGCGUACUUCGCUCCGUAGCGAGUCCGUCUUAGGGUGAACAUCCAUUAGAGAUGGCGAGAUAAAAAUACAUCAUUAGAAAACACGCGUGGCAAUGCAUUACGUCAUAUGGCUCUGCUAUUCCGCUCAAGUUUGCUGGAUGUUCAAUAUUUAGGCAGUCAGAGACCGACUGCAUCCAAGCUGUAAAUUGUAUAUGAAUUGCACACAUGUUGCAGUCUGGAUGCAGUCUUGUGUCGGCUCUUCACGCUACGCCCAAACACCUUUGGAUCGUUCCCAAACUUUCCGAAUCGACAAUAAUCCAUACGUAGCGUGCGCUAGCGUUAGUUGGUCUGUCAUCGGACAAUUAAUUAUAACUGUAUUUUAACUCAAUGUGGUACAGCCAACCUUAAUAUGCUACUGGGGUGAAUUUAAAUCUUUGUACAUAGUUAAGUCAUGUGGGAUAAGAGAAACAUAGUUUAGAGUCAGACCAAGCUAAGUUGGCUGCGAUUUUGAAAGCCCAUCCUUUGCAAGUGUUAAGUAAAUGUCAUAAUUUAUAGAAGUUUAACGUUGAAAAUAACACAUGCACUGUCUAGGCUGAGCUAGGGUUCCCUACUAGUAUUGAUCUUGCCCCAAUAUUUGUCUCACACCAUCUAACCUUAUACCUUAAUUCAUCCACAACUUCAUUUUUAUGAAGACCUUUUGAACAUUAAUAUUGUUGAUGAACUACAUUUAUAAUUACGUACAAACAUUUUUAAAUUCACUCACUAUGGGAUCUUGUAAUUUCAGUAAAUAAAAAUAAUAUUAAAUAUUUAACUUGUCAUGUGACUUCCAUAGGAGCAUAUAAAAAAAUCAGGUUGCAAUUACUUAAUAAGUAACCGAUUUUAUCAACUUACUAAUAUGAGGUAGUAAUUUCUUGAAUAUGAGCCUGACUACUGUUAAACAGGUCCAUACUGCGCUACGAACCCAUAAAUACCCUUUUAACCUUUUUGACGCCAGUGACGGAUGUAUCCCUACCGUAGUUCCAACGCCGAAGACGGAUUAAUCCGUCACAGACCACAGAACACCAUAGACUAAGAGCAUAUGUAUGGAAGGUGGAGGUAAGGAAUGCAAUCUCCAGUGUCCAGUUGCCAGCUAUAAAUAAUACUUCCAAAACUCUCCAGAGUAGCACUAGAGUAGCUAAGAACCUAGGCGUUAUUGAUAGAGUGAAGAGCGCUGUGUAUGCUUUGAACUUUUUUUUUUCAAAUAUUCUUAGUAUAGUACCUAUUUAAGGUUUUUUGACGGACACUUUUGGUACAUGGAGAUUGCGUUCCUUACCUUCCAUAAGCAUAUGUACUUCGGUGACGUGGCUGUCACUGUUUUUUAUACAACAAUCGUGGUAAAUACGAGUUCAAACAGCAACUUUUGCCACAACUGUCACUAGGAUUGUCAAAUGCUCGUUGGAUCCAAGGAACUAACAAUUAUUAAGUUGGUAGAAUUGGUUUCCCAAUUCUUCCGUUACCAAAAUAACUGUCACAUUUAAUCUUUAAGUCUAUCUUAUAAUUAUAGUCGAUUGCAUGAUCUAAUUUAUUAGUUUAGUUAAUUUACUGCACGUAUGCUUCGUCUUAUGAUUUUAUUACUAAAACCUCGAGUGAGUUUUGUAAUUUAUCUACUUAUAAGUUAUUUAGAUUGGAGUUUUAAGUUUUAUAUGCAUAAAUAGUAUAAUAAAAUAUAUCUCAAUAUAUAAAAUCAGAAUGUCACUAUAAUUCGUUAUUAUAGUAUUAAUUGAUAUUAAACGUAAGAUAUAAUUGUAUAAUUAUUUUUUAACAAUCUAGUCUUUUUGUAUGACCCUAAUGUAUUAUUGUGACUAUGAUUUUGUCUUUUCAAGUUAUUUUAAGGGUAACAUUAGUUUGCUUAGAGAAAUGAGAUUUUAGCCUACGUUAUAUUCUGUUGUCGGCCAUUUUGUUGACGCGCGAGUUCAAGAUGGCGGACGCUGUAGCUUCGAAUUCAAUUGUAGAACGAGUUGUACACAUAUUUUAUGUUUUUAUGAGUCGACGGACAUAUUUACGAAUAAUUUAUCCAAAGAUCUGUCUAUCAUUCUUGUUUUAUUCGACGUGUAUGGACGAAAUGUUUAAUAACUUAAUUAGUAAAAUUAGUUUUUUAAAAGUAUAUUUAAAAAAUUGUACCAGAAAGAACUGAUUGUAUAUUGCUUUUCUAUAAUUGUGUAUAAUUAUUAUGUAUUGGAGUAUGUAAUUCGGAUAUAUUGGCAGAUAAUAAAAAUAGAGGGCGCCAUUCCAUAUGCACAGUCGUUGUCAAAGAUAUGUAUAUAUUUUCGCCUUAUAUCAAUGGUUGAACAUUUUUAAGCAUAUCUUUGAAGUCGACCCUACCGUAGAUAAAUUGUUUGGACGCGUGAUCAUAGACUAAGUACUGACAGACGCGACAUAAUUUCCAUAACGCAUUUACCUUAUUAUUGUCAAUUGAUAUUAUAAGUAUUAUAACAGAAAAUUAUUCGAAAAGUUGAAGUUCCAUUGGCAGAUAGUGUAUAACCUAAUAAUAUGUAAAUCUCAAAAUUUGUUGAAUAUAAAUUAUCCUAGUGUAAGGACUGUAUUGUUAAAGAAGUUUUUAUAAUCCCCACGAAAAUUGUACCGAUUAGGAGUAGAUUUUGCUAAAUUUAACAAUAAAAUUGCAUUUUAUAAGCAAUUAUAUCACCGGAAUUCGAUUUUUGCUUUGAAUAUCUAUAUUAAUUUGUGUUAAAAGGUAAAACAGCUUUGAAUACAAAUUAAUGUAAGUUGCUUUUGACUAAAGCUUGUUAUACUAGGUGCCAUCUACGCAGUUACAUGUAGAACACGAAAGAUGGAGUGAUUACUGACUUAUUUUGGAAAGCAAAUGUAAGAAUUGUUUCGAUAUUUUCCUACGCAUACGAUAGAUAUUUUAAUGAAUUUUGAAACAGUGACAAUAAUUUCUACGUUUAUUAAAAACAACACGAGAUUUUUUGAAGUUAUUUAUGACAUGUAUUUUGAAUAACCUUAUUUUAUCGAUUAUCGCAUUUGAAAAUCAAUAUUUCUUUAACUCCACUUGUUUAAAGUAUUUUAAAGUAUAUAAAUGACCUACUUACAAAGGAAUAACAUUUGCUUUCCAAACGGAAACAUUGUAUAAUGAAGUAAGCAAAUUAUACAAUAGUUUCCAAGCGGCGGUAAGCAUAUUAGGUGCAUUUGAAAAAUCAUUUAAUUGUUUACCUUGUUUUUAUAUAAUAAGGUUCACAUUUGAAUGGGUUUUCUUAAACGGAUACAAGAAAUAUGGAUAGCGCUGCUGAAAUAUAUGGUGUAUGGUUAACAUCAAUCCAAACGAAUUGCAAUAGAAGUUCCAAAUCAUAUUUCGGUUUUAUUGAAGUAUUUUUAGGCGAAUAGUGGCAUGGGCUCACGGUCCUAGCCAUAGGCUAUAGGCCAUACUCAGGCCGAUGAAAUUUAAAUCAUAUUCAAUUCGAAUAGAGUUGUAUUUGCUUUGUUAUAUUCAACUUUCAAAAAGAAAAAGAAAAUUAACUCUAUUUCCUACACGACAGGUUCAAAUUGCAGUAGCAAAGUUUGGAAUUCUCAUUUGGCUGACCUUAGGAUACGGACGGUUAAUUGGAGCAUUAAGAUGUGUUUGGUGUUAACUGUACACAAUACGAAAUAUAGCAGUUUUAUGAGUAGCCGACGCGAUAUCUUCCUUGUAUUUAACAACAUACCGAUAUGUUAUAAUUUGUAUGUAAAUCUAAAUUAUUAACUAAUAUUAUAUUGCAAUUACAUGAAAUUAUCUCAAUACUUAAUUAUUUUAUGUAAAUAAUAAAGAAACAUUUGAACGAAA
Long non-coding RNA from Cydia pomonella (codling moth), 8750 nucleotides. RefSeq lists it as uncharacterized. The record is from RefSeq and is a predicted model, not a curated record. Lineage: Eukaryota; Metazoa; Arthropoda; Insecta; Lepidoptera; Tortricidae. The transcript is spliced from 2 exons.